Molecule: transfer RNA, 72 nt
Filed under: Loxodonta africana (African savanna elephant)
Lineage: Eukaryota; Metazoa; Chordata; Mammalia; Proboscidea; Elephantidae
Rfam family: tRNA
About the family: Transfer RNA (tRNA) molecules are approximately 80 nucleotides in length. Their secondary structure includes four short double-helical elements and three loops (D, anti-codon, and T loops).
Source: Rfam by way of RNAcentral
GGGCAUGUGGCCCAUUGGUUUGGGCAUGGGCUGGGAAACCAGAUGGCCUGGGUUCGAAUCCCAGCUUGGUGA